CCUACGGGGGGCUGCAGUGGGGAAUAUUGCACAAUGGGCGCAAGCCUGAUGCAGCGACGCCGCGUGAGCGAAGAAGGUCUUCGGAUCGUAAAGCUCUGUUGUUAGGGAAGAACAAGUACGGGAGGAAAUGACCGUACCUUGACGGUACCUAACGAGGAAGCCACGGCUAACUACGUGCCAGCAGCCGCGGUAAUACGUAGGGGGCGAGCGUUAUCCGGAAUCACUGGGCGUAAAGGGUGCGUAGGCGGCUAAGUAAGCCAGGGGUGAAAGGCUACGGCUCAACCGUAGUAAGCCUUUGGAACUACUUAGCUUGAGUGCAGGAGAGGAGAGUGGAAUUCCUAGUGUAGCGGUGAAAUGCGUAGAUAUUAGGAGGAACACCAGUGGCGAAGGCGACUCUCUGGACUGUAACUGACGCUGAGGCACGAAAGCGUGGGGAGCAAACAGGAUUAGAUACCCCUGUAGUC
RNAcentral lists this ribosomal RNA (464 nucleotides) under uncultured bacterium. RNAcentral's name for it is "bacterial SSU rRNA". It matches the Rfam family "Bacterial small subunit ribosomal RNA", at positions 338 to 795 of the family's 1533-position model. The record is from RNAcentral.